UACGUAGGGGGCAAGCGUUGUCCGGAAUCAUUGGGCGUAAAGCGCGUGUAGGCGGCUUGGUAAGUCUGCUCUGAAAGCCCGGGGCUCGACCCCGGGAGGCGGGUGGAUACUGUCAAGCUCGAGUCCGGAAGAGGAGUGUGGAAUUCCUGGUGUAGCGGUGAAAUGCGUAGAUAUCGUUUGGAACGCCAAUGGUGAAAACAGACAGCUGGGAGUGUGCUGACGCUGAGACACGAAAGCCAGGGGAGCGAACGGG
Molecule: ribosomal RNA, 253 nt
Filed under: uncultured bacterium
Lineage: Bacteria
Description: partial 16S ribosomal RNA
Rfam family: Bacterial small subunit ribosomal RNA
Source: RNAcentral